Molecule: ribosomal RNA, 253 nt
Filed under: uncultured bacterium
Lineage: Bacteria
Description: partial 16S ribosomal RNA
Rfam family: Bacterial small subunit ribosomal RNA
Source: RNAcentral
UACAGAGGGUGCGAGCGUUGUUCGGAAUUAUUGGGCGUAAAGAGCGCGUAGGUGGUUCGCUAAGUCUGGUGUGAAAGCCCUCGGCUUAACCGAGGAAGUGCAUUGGAUACUGGCGAGCUUGAGUGUGGGAGAGGAUUGUGGAAUUCCUGGUGUAGCGGUGAAAUGCGUAGAUAUCAGGAGGAACACCGGUGGCGAAGGCGGCAAUCUGGAUCAUAACUGACACUGAGGCGCGAAAGCGUGGGUAGCAAACAGG